AACGGAAAGGCCCUUCGGGGUACUCGAGUGGCGAACGGGUGAGUAACACGUGGGUGAUCUGCCCUGCACUUCGGGAUAAGCCUGGGAAACUGGGUCUAAUACCGGAUAGGACUACGCGAUGCAUGUCGUGUGGUGGAAAGCUUUUGCGGUGUGGGAUGGGCCCGCGGCCUAUCAGCUUGUUGGUGAGGUUAUGGCUUACCAAGGCGACGACGGGUAGCCGGCCUGAGAGGGUGACCGGCCACACUGGGACUGAGAUACGGCCCAGACUCCUACGGGAGGCAGCAGUGGGGAAUAUUGCACAAUGGGCGCAAGCCUGAUGCAGCGACGCCGCGUGAGGGAUGACGGCCUUCGGGUUGUAAACCUCUUUCGCUCACGACGAAGCGCAAGUGACGGUAGUGAGAGAAGAAGGACCGGCCAACUACGUGCCAGCAGCCGCGGUAAUACGUAGGGUCCGAGCGUUGUCCGGAAUUACUGGGCGUAAAGAGCUCGUAGGUGGUUUGUCGCGUUGUUCGUGAAAACUCACAGCUCAACUGUGGGCGUGCGGGCGAUACGGGCAGACUGGAGUACUGCAGGGGAGACUGGAAUUCCUGGUGUAGCGGUG
This 601-nucleotide ribosomal RNA is filed under the name Mycolicibacterium aurum. RNAcentral describes it as "bacterial SSU rRNA". It matches the Rfam family "Bacterial small subunit ribosomal RNA", at positions 65 to 683 of the family's 1533-position model. The record is from RNAcentral. Lineage: Bacteria; Bacillati; Actinomycetota; Actinomycetes; Mycobacteriales; Mycobacteriaceae.